AGCGGUGCAGUUUCAUCACUAUCCUAAAAAUAAAUAAAUGAGCGGGCAAUAAUGACGCAUGGGGAAUCGAGAUCUAGGGACUGCUCCGAACCCUCGUGGUUUAAAUACCGUAGGGAUGGGAUGGGAGGAAGCGUCUUCCCCUCCUUAUUCUUUCCCGCGGCCGGCGGCGGCCAGAGCUUCGACCUGUCCAGGAGUCAUGCUCAGAACCCACUACCUGUUCGACGAAAUGCACAAGAAGGUUGUUGACGCAGGCACGGAUCCUUUUCGCGUCCUCUCCGACGAUGUGCUCGAGCACAUCCUUUCCCUUAUGCCGGGGGAUGAAGCCCUACAGACUUGUGUGCUCGGUACCCAGUGGCGUGACCUCUGGAGGCGCAAAACCAACUUGCGCUUCAUCUUUAGCUCCUCAUCUCCCGCCACUUGAGGACCAUAGAAUUUAGAUUCCUUGACCUCGUAGAUUCCUCAGUAGAUUUCUCGGGCUGCCCAGUAUUAGAGGAGCUAACAAUAGAAAGAUGCUACGUCGACACAGGGAAGAUAUGUUCUAAUUCACUAAAGCAUCUGCGGUUAGUUGGGAAUUGUACCUUCUCCGAGGAUAUCCACAUUCCUAUUGCUGCCCUGCGCCUUAUCUCACUGGAACUAGGUAGUUUUCAGUGCUUGACUCCUUUCCUUGAAGAGAUGCCAUUACUGGAACGCAAUGGGUGUUAUAAUGUCUGUCAUAGUGACCCUAAAUGUGGUGGAUGUUCUCACAAGAAGUGUCUACUUCUCAAUGGAUUAUCCAAUGCUGUUGAUUUGAAAUUGAUUGCUACGCCUGAAUUGCCUAUCUUCAAACGGGAUUUGGAAUGGUGCCCUAAAUUUGACAAGUUAAAGACUCUGAAACUCAAUGAUUGGUUUACGGCUACUGACCUAGUUUGCAUUCUCCAACACUCUCCAAAUCUUGAGAAGCUCACUCUUAAGAUCGAUUUCCCUGAGAACUUUGUAGGAGGAGAAGGAUCCAGACAAUCAUUUGUGUGUCUGCCUCAUUUGGUUGUCAACAUUAAAUGUAGGAAAGUUGAUAAUGCUGUUUGCAAGAUUUUGGACGUCUUGAGGACAUGUGGCAUACUUCUUGAGCAUAUUAGCAUCAAGUGUUGUGAUCGCACUUAGAUUGUUCCAUCCACUGAUUGGGACUAAGAUAUGAGCUCAGUCAUGAUGUUUGUCUGCCGAUUUAUGUUUCUCUAAAGAGUCAUCAAUAAUGGUACCAUGUGUUGGCGGUUAGCCUGUUACCAUGAUGUUUUAGUUUCUCCUUCCCAUGUAUUGUCCCAGCUGGAAAUCUAUCAUUGUGGUUUCUCUUGUGCAACUUAGCAAAAUGAUGGUCGUCAGAACAUUGUUUUUAUGGAAGUUUGGAAGCGCAUUGACAUUUCAUGUUCUUGUCAUAUUUAGUAGAUCAUUGAUAUUAUACCGGAAUUUUCUGGUUACCAGAAUUUUAGUAUAUGUGCGUGCAUCCUUUCAUGUCUCUUUGCCCUGCUCAAACCUAGUUCUUGUCGUCUGAUUG
Triticum urartu is the source of this 1525-nucleotide non-coding RNA. Lineage: Eukaryota; Viridiplantae; Streptophyta; Magnoliopsida; Poales; Poaceae. The record is from RefSeq and is a predicted model, not a curated record.